Acinonyx jubatus (cheetah) is the source of this 1449-nucleotide long non-coding RNA. RefSeq lists it as uncharacterized. The transcript is spliced from 4 exons. The record is from RefSeq and is a predicted model, not a curated record. Lineage: Eukaryota; Metazoa; Chordata; Mammalia; Carnivora; Felidae.
ACGGACAGAGAGAAAGGGAGACACAGAAUCCCAAGCAGGUUCCGCACUGUCAGUCAGAGCCUGACGUGGGGCUCGAUCUCAGGAACCGUGAGAUCACGAACUGACCCAAAAUCAAGAGUCGACACUGAACCGACUGAGCCGCCCAGACGCCCGGUCCCUUGGAAGCAUUUGAACGACCAAUCACAUCUUUGAGUUGGCCAAACGUCUCAGCUUCUGGGAAGGUGUCUGAAACUCUGUCCAUGGACUCCUGCAAAUCAUCUCUGCCACCUCCUUGAUGAGCUCUGCUCUGAAUCGGCGUUCAGGACCCCCAGAGCGGGACCCCCAAAGGCUGGGGGACCAAGUAGGUGUGGCAGGUGCCGACGAGGGAUGAUGUCAUCAGAUGACGUCCAGCGGUGGCCCGGAGAAGUGGCCCAGGUGCGUUCCUUGAGGAAGGGACAGAGUUUCAGCUUCAGCAAACGGAACAGAAGUGACCUGGGGCGUGGAUAGAAGCCGAGAGUCAUCUAUCUGUGUGUGUUUGUCCAGCUGCUUCUCCGCCGUGAGGGCGUGACAGCAGGACCUGUCCGUGGGAAUGCCAGCAGCAUUCAUCACAGACCAGGAGAUCAUUCAAGACCUCGAAUCGCCUCACAGGGUGUUGCGGGUGAACUGCGGGAGCCAAGCCUUCCGAGACUUUCGUCCUGAUUACGACUGUUUGAAGGUAUUUAUCAGACACAGACAAGGACAAAGUGGGUGUUACUCUCCAGGCGAGACGCUCGUGGCAUCUCCAACUGCAUGAUUGUUUUGAAGGCAGAAGCAGGAUUCAGAGGUUUCCUUGGUGAUGUGUCCAAAGUCUGUGCUUGCAACCAGGAUAUCCUGGUGGUGAGCCUGCCUCAGUUUACCUUCCUGACCCCCCUGCAUGAAUUUCACAGCCUGCAAGCUCCUGCACCAACCUUCCUUUCUUGGGGAACUGGUUUCUGCUUGGUGCCAUCUAAAGACUUCCCAGCGCCUCCUUUCCUAGGUCUGAAAUGAAGGAGACAGGCUUCCUCAGCCUCUCUGCUGUGUUGGGAGACAGCCCAUCCUGGGUGUGAGCCGUGGCCUCCUGGACCGUGUUUAGGUCCUGACUUUCUGGAGGUUUCCAGACACGGGAGCCCGUCGGAUUGGGGAGAGAGCCCUGAGGAAUUCGAAUCACUUCUCUCCGGGGCCGAGGGACCUGCUCUCCGGAAGAACAGCACGUCCCUGUGUGUGGUUCAAGAGGCCGGGCUCAGGGGACAGCCCACAACAUCUCCAUGGGGAAGGAGAAAACAAAAACGGAGGAAGCCAGGGCGGGAGAGCUGAGCCAGAGGGGGGCCCAGCGGGGACACAUCUGGGGCGUGACUUGGGUCACUUUGCUGCCUGACCUGUGCGUGGAGCUCACAAGCCCAGCCUGCACCGCCCGCCCGUGUGGCUCCGAGCCCCUAGAGGAGGAAGCUGGUC